CGGGGACGGGUGAGUAUGUCUGGGAAACGUGCCUGAUGGAGGGGGAUAACUACUGAAACGGUAGCUAAUACCGCAUAACGUCGCAAGACCAAAGAGGGGGUCCUUUCGGGCCUCUUGCCAUCAGAUGUGCCCAGAUGGGAUUAGCUAGUAGUGGGGUAACGGCUCACCUAGCGACGAUCCCUACUGGCCUGAGAGGAUGACCAGCCACACUGGAACUGAGACACGGUCCAGACUCCUACGGGAGGCAGCAGUGGGGAAUAUUGCACAAUGGGCGCAAGCCUGAUGCAGCCAUGCCGCGUGUAUGAAGAAGGCCUUCGGGUUGUAAAGUACUUUCAGCGGGGAGGAAGGUGUUGUGGUUAAUAACCACAGCAAAUUGACGUUACCCGCAGAAAAGCACCGGCUAACUCCGUGCCAGCAGCCGCGGUAAUACGGAGGGUGCAAAGCGUUAAUCGGAAUUACUGGGCGUAAAGCGCACGCAGGCGGGUCUUGUCAAGUUCGGAUGUGAAAUCCCCCGGGGCUCCAACCUGGGGAAACUUGCAUUCGAAAACUUGGCAGGGCUAAGUCUUGUAAAGGGGGGGUAAAAAUUCCCAGGUUUUACGG
RNAcentral lists this ribosomal RNA (600 nucleotides) under uncultured bacterium. RNAcentral describes it as "bacterial SSU rRNA". It matches the Rfam family "Bacterial small subunit ribosomal RNA", at positions 97 to 681 of the family's 1533-position model. The record is from RNAcentral.